Osmia bicornis bicornis is the source of this 677-nucleotide long non-coding RNA. RefSeq lists it as uncharacterized. NCBI's taxonomy places the organism in Eukaryota, Metazoa, Arthropoda, Insecta, Hymenoptera, Megachilidae. The record is from RefSeq and is a predicted model, not a curated record. The transcript is spliced from 3 exons.
AAGAUAAAAGUAUUUCAGUUUAAUUCGUAAUGUAAUGUAUUAAUAGUUACUAAAUAAAACUGUGCGCAAGGUCUUAUUAUUAGUUUGGAAGUAUGAUUCAAAUUUCGUAACGCGAAUUCUCGUAAUAUAAUUGGUCCAUCUCAUAGUGCAUACACAGCUUUACCGUGAAAAAGAUUGGAUCUGAUUGGUUCAAAUUUUUCAUUUUGUAUUGUGCGUCGCGAGUCCGCUGUGUGAUUGUUUUUAAGUGUCUAAUUUUUUAAAUAUUCUUUAUUCUACUAUUCCUUACAAAAUUGUUGUUAUUAUAUACGUAAAUAUUUUAAGAAACAUUUAAAGUGUGAAUUUUCAAGACCGGGAUUCACUAUCUGGAAGGCGGGAUAAUCGAGUUCUGGAUAAAGCUGCACAGUGAAUUUUAGCACGGAUCACAGGAACUGCAAGCGACGAGAAGCCCCGACAAGUUGCUAUUGCUACCGUUAUGGAUCUUGGAGCGCUACUUGCUGGAUGAGAGGAUCGAACAUUUCAUGCUGAUCUCUUUGCCGAUUGAAGGUAAUUAAAUAAUGGAAUAACAGUGGUAUGCUAAAUAUGUAUAUUACAUCGGAACUCAAAUAUCAAUUCAGAAAUUAAAUCUGUAUAUGAAUUUGGAUAUCAAAUAACCACCAAGUAAAAUGAUAGAAUACGCA